Molecule: unclassified non-coding RNA, 520 nt
Filed under: uncultured Glomus
Lineage: Eukaryota; Fungi; Glomeromycota; Glomeromycetes; Glomerales; Glomeraceae
Description: SSU rRNA
Rfam family: Eukaryotic small subunit ribosomal RNA
Source: RNAcentral
AGCAGCCGCGGUAAUUCCAGCUCCAAUAGCGUAUAUUAAAGUUGUUGCAGUUAAAAAGCUCGUAGUUGAAUUUCGGGAUCAAUUAAUUGGUCGUGCCUAUGGUACGUACUGAUUUUAUUGGUUUCUCCCUUCUGACGAACCAUGAUGUCAUUAAUUUGGUGUCGUGGAGAAUCAGGACUGUUACUUUGGAAAAAUUUAGAGUGUUUAAAGCAGGCUAACGCUUGAAUACAUUAGCAUGGAAUAAUGAAAUAGGACGUUUGAUCCUAUUUUGUUGGUUUCUAGGAUCGACGUAAUGAUUAAUAGGGAUAGUUGGGGGCAUUAGUAUUCAAUUGUCAGAGGUGAAAUUCUUGGAUUUAUUGAAGACUAACUACUGCGAAAGCAUUUGCCAAGGAUGUUUUCAUUAAUCAAGAACGAAAGUUAGGGGAUCGAAGACGAUCAGAUACCGUCGUAGUCUUAACCAUAAACUAUGCCGACUAGGGAUCGGAUGAUGUUAAUUUUUUAAUGACUCAUUCGGCGCCUU